This 460-nucleotide ribosomal RNA is filed under the name uncultured bacterium. Its description in RNAcentral is "partial 16S ribosomal RNA". It matches the Rfam family "Bacterial small subunit ribosomal RNA", at positions 338 to 795 of the family's 1533-position model. The record is from RNAcentral.
CCUACGGGUGGCAGCAGUGAGGAAUAUUGGUCAAUGGCCGGAAGUCUGAACCAGCCAAGCCGCGUGAAGGACGAAGGUGCCACGCAUUGUAAACUUCUUUUGUCAAGGGACAAAAUCAGGCUCGCGCGCCUGACCGAGGGUACUUGAAGAAAACGCAUCGGCUAACUCCGUGCCAGCAGCCGCGGUAAUACGGAGGAUGCGAGCGUUAUCCGGAUUUAUUGGGUUUAAAGGGAGCGUAGAUGGGUUGUUAAGUCAGUUGUGAAAGUUUGCGGCUCAACCGUAAAAUUGCAAUUGAUACUGGCAGUCGUGAGUACAGUUGAGGUAGGCGGAAUUCGUGGUGUAGCGGUGAAAUGCUUAGAUAUCACGAAGAACUCCGAUUGCGAAGGCAGCUUACUAAACUGCAACUGACAUUGAUGCUCGAAAGUGUGGGUAUCAAACAGGAUUAGAUACCCGAGUAGUC